CCAACAGGGAUUGCCUCAGUAACGGCGAGUGAAGCGGCAACAGCUCAAAUUUGAAAUCUGGCCUCCGGGCCCGAGUUGUAAUUUGCAGAGGGAGUUUCGGCGGCGGCGCCGGCCUAAGUCCCUUGGAACGGGGCGUCAUAGAGGGUGAGAAUCCCGUAUGUGGCCGGCGGUCAAUUCCAUGUGAAACCCCUUCGACGAGUCGAGUUGUUUGGGAAUGCAGCUCAAAAUGGGUGGUAAAUUUCAUCUAAAGCUAAAUACCGGCCAGAGACCGAUAGCGCACAAGUAGAGUGAUCGAAAGAUGAAAAGCACUUUGGAAAGAGAGUUAAACAGUACGUGAAAUUGUUGAAAGGGAAGCGCUUGCAACCAGACUUGCUCGCGGGUGAUCAGCCUCCCGUGAGGGGGGUGCACUCGCCCGCGAUCAGGCCAGCAUCGGUUUUGGCGGGCGGAUAAAGUCCCCAGGAAUGUAGCUCCCCUCGGGGAGUGUUAUAGCCUGGGGCGGAAUGCGCUCAACCGGGACCGAGGACCGCGCUUCGGCUAGGAUGCUGGCGUAAUGGUUGUAAGCGACCCGUCUUGAAACACGGACCAAGGAGUCUAACAUCUAUGCGAGUGUUUGGGUGUGAAACCCAUGCGCGGAAUGAAAGUGAACGGAGGUGGGAACCCUCUCGGGGGCGCACCAUCGACCGAUCCUGAUGUCUUCGGAUGGAUUUGAGUAGGAGCAUGGCUGUUGGGACCCGAAAGAUGGUGAACUAUGCCUGAAUAGGGUGAAGCCAGAGGAAACUCUGGUGGAGGCUCGCAGCGGUUCUGACGUGCAAAUCGAUCGUCAAAUUUGGGUAUAGGGGCGAAAGACUAAUCGAACCAUCUAGUAAAAGCCACUUCUACUAGAGAUACCGGGAGCCGCCCAGGCUCCAGUAGUCCCCAUGUACGGGGGCAACACUGUCGGUCUCCGGGGAUGCCUUUCGGGCUACCCGCACUGAGCCCAGGCUCAGUCACAGACUAAUUGACGGUGGCCGCGUCUCCGCGGUUAGGAUAUAGUCGGCGGGGCCCUUGACGGGGCGCCUGUCCGCGAGCUGGUUUCANNNNNNNNNGCCGAAGUUUCCCUCAGGAUAGCAGUAACGUUUUCAGUUUUAUGAGGUAAAGCGAAUGAUUAGAGGCCUUGGGGCUGAAACAGCCUUAACCUAUUCUCAAACUUUAAAUAUGUAAGAAGUCCUUGUUACUUAGUUGAACGUGGACACUCGAAUGCACCGUUACUAGUGGGCCAUUUUUGGUAAGCAGAACUGGCGAUGCGGGAUGAACCGAACGCGAGGUUAAGGUGCCGGAAUGCACGCUCAUCAGACACCACAAAAGGUGUUAGUUCAUCUAGACAGUUGGACGGUGGCCAUGGAAGUCGGAAUCCGCUAAGGAGUGUGUAACAACUCACCAACCGAAUGAACUAGCCCUGAAAAUGGAUGGCGCUCAAGCGUGCUACCCAUACCUCGCCGCCAGGGUAGAAACGAUGCCCUGGCGAGUAGGCUGACGUGGGGGUCAGUGACGAAGCCUUGGGAGUGAUCCCGGGUCGAACGGCCCCUAGUGCAGAUCUUGG
Molecule: ribosomal RNA, 1579 nt
Filed under: Lobothallia alphoplaca
Lineage: Eukaryota; Fungi; Ascomycota; Lecanoromycetes; Pertusariales; Megasporaceae
Description: eukaryotic LSU rRNA
Rfam family: Eukaryotic large subunit ribosomal RNA
Source: RNAcentral